RNAcentral lists this ribosomal RNA (234 nucleotides) under uncultured bacterium. RNAcentral's name for it is "partial 16S ribosomal RNA". It matches the Rfam family "Bacterial small subunit ribosomal RNA", at positions 102 to 334 of the family's 1533-position model. The record is from RNAcentral.
UGGCGACGGGUGAGUAAUGUCUGGGAAACUGCCCGAUGGAGGGGGAUAACUACUGGAAACGGUAGCUAAUACCGCAUAACGUCGCAAGACCAAAGAGGGGGACCUUCGGGCCUCUUGCCAUCGGAUGUGCCCAGAUGGGAUUAGCUAGUAGGUGGGGUAACGGCUCACCUAGGCGACGAUCCCUAGCCGGUCUGAGAGGAUGACCAGCCACACUGGAACUGAGACACGGUCCAG